GACUGUUCUAAACGAACAAUUGAUUUGCUGCUACUUUUAAGCAAAUAGAAGCUGUCAGCAGCCUUAAGUGACUAGACGGUGGGACCCAGGUCAGAGUUCACAGUAACUUGCAUGUGUGUGAGGUAAGAAGUAAAUGUACACAUGCGCUAGUAGCAUGAGUCAGCAUUAUGAACAAUACGCAUGCGCGGGCCUAAUAAAAGGACAAGUGCGUACACCUGAGGGUGCGCCACCCGCUUGUACUGCAGUAAAGUGCUGUUUUGCUCUAUGUCAGCUCCUCACGCCUUCCAGUUGGGCAGCUCACCUCCUCGGACCCCUCUCCAGCCUCCUGCGGCUGACAGAAGCACACAUUUUUUUUUCUUGGCAGGAGACAAAAGUUUUUAACAUUCAUAGAUAUUUCCUUGUUGGUGUUUUUGGGUUAAAAGAUGGUAAAUUUGUAAGAGUUUACUGAAUUGACAGUAUAAAUACAUUUAUUUUCUAUUGAUACUGUGUUUUGCUCUACCUUCUGGAAGGUUUCUACAUCUUUAGCAUCCAAAUCUUCAAUUGAGUAUUUUAUUUCUUCUACCAUCCUUUUAGUAUUCAAGAUCACCUCCCUCCCGUUUUUUUUUUUUUUAAACAUUUUCCUUUUUAGUGAGCCUAUGCUUCUGACUAUAAACUUCACAAGAGUUUCUCAGUUUUUUUCUCCCUGGUGGGACACGAUAGCAGUAGCUGACUAGAGUUGGGUAUUCCCCUUUCCCUAGGUCAAUCAGGCUUUGAUUGUUUCCCAGCAGGCUGGAAUCUGCUUAAUUGGUUUCUCCUGAGGGCAGCCCUUUUUAAAGCACGGAGUGUUGGGGCAAGAAGUUUCAAAAUGGCUUCUUUUCCUCUCUCCUUGCUGGAAGCUCUGGGUGAUUUUUCUCCGUUUUUUACUGUUAUCCCCUGGUUGAACUCCUGGAGGUAAAACUAAAAAAAACUGUGAAAGUCCCCCCGUGACUAGGGGCCCUGGAAGAGUUGUCCACACUCCAGUAGUUAGUCAGUUCCAGUUCAGUUUGUCCUACCUGCGUCAACACUCGUUCCUGGUUUCGGUGGCUGUUUCUGCUCUGGCAUCUCUGCCCAGGUGAAGAAACUGAGGCCUGGGUUGAGGAAGUGAUUUGACCAAGAUGGCAUGGUUGCUUCUAUAUGUUAUAAAAAGUUGAAGACUGCUAUCGUGGUGGGACUGUACAAGAGACAGAUUAAGCGUGUUUACAAGACACCACAAGGUGCUAUCCAGUGGCUCCCCUGGGUGUCCAGCCUGCUGACUGAAGAUCUUAGGACUUCUCAGACUCCACAAUCACGUGAGUCAAUUCCUUAUAAUAAAUCUCCUUCUAACUAUAUGUCUCUCUAUCCUAGUGGUUCUGUUUUUCUGGAGAACCCUAAUGCAGUAAUAAUAAUUACUAACACUGAGUGUUUCUUGUACUGGGUGCUAGUCAGAUGUUUUAUGUUUACAUAGAUCAAUGUAUGUAAUCCUCAUAAUGAUUGUAUAAAAGAAGCUAUUAUGGUCAUCAUUUUAAAGAUAAGGAAAUUGACAGAACUAGUUAGAGGUCAGGUCAGGUCCAAGAUUCUCAUUCAUUCAGUCUACUUCCUGCACUCACUUGCUUACCCCCCACUCCAUAGUAAUUCAAAAAAUGAUUAUGAUUAGGGCCAAUAAUGGAGGCAGGGGGACCACUAGAAGGCUCUUGCCAAUCAGGCAGAAGAUACCACUGGCUAAGACUAGGCUUAGAGCAGACUGUAAUUAGAUAGUGGAAGGUGUGGGGUGAGAGGCAAGUGCCAAACACAGUGAUGGGCAUGCAUUAUAUUGAAAAGAAAAGAAAAAAACAAACAAAACAAUAAAAAAAAAAUCACUGAGAUUUUUGGAAUUAACUUGUUUACUCUAGUAUACCUAAACUAUCCUCUCAUGAUUUUGAU
This is a non-coding RNA of Vicugna pacos (alpaca), 1917 nucleotides long. Lineage: Eukaryota; Metazoa; Chordata; Mammalia; Artiodactyla; Camelidae. The record is from RefSeq and is a predicted model, not a curated record.